AAGAAGCCAGCCAGAGGAUCAGUCGGAGGAGGAAGCCUCUGGUGAAGACGCAGGACAGAAGAAUCCGCGUGGACCCAGAUACACUUAGGCGGAAAACUGUGCCCUAGUGGAUGGCAUCGACAGGUCCUACGAUGUUCUGUAUGGACCAAGGGCACAGACCACAGCAGCUAAGACCAAGCGAUACAUCUGGGAUGCCAUCGCGACACAAGUCACUGCAGUAUCUGGAAACCGCCGGAGCACCAGAAACUGCAUGAAGCGGUACAGUGAUUGCCGCAGACAGACCAAGAAGAAGAUGGGGAUUCAGCGCCGACAUGAGACAGCUACGGGAGGUGGUCCGGCUCUCAAUCUGAAGUGGCUACCCUGGGAGGAAGUUAUUAAAAGGCGCAUGAACCCUGUCAUGGUCCAAGGAGUUCACGGAGGUGUGGACUUUAGCCGUCCUGCUGGCUUUCCCGAGGAGGAAGAACCGCCCAGAAGACGGAAGACGGCGGGAGACAAGCAGUCCAAAAGGAGGCCUGAUGACACGCCUGCCCAGAGGACAUCGGCAGCGCGCGGACCAUCACCUGCGCAGCAGGCAUCGGCAGCAGCGCGCGGACCAUCACCUGCGCAGCAAGCAUCAGCAGCACGCAGAAAGUCACCUGCGCGCCAGACAUCGUCAGCGCGCAGACCAUCACCUGCGCGCCAGACAUCAGUGCACAGAACGUCACCUGCGCGCCAGACACCGUCGGCGACCACACCACCAGCUGGGCGCCAAAGUACAUCUCCUGCGCACAGGCCAUCACCAGCUCGUCAUCUCUCCAGGAGCUCUGGGACUGUGACCGAAGAGCCUCAACAAGACACUACCCUUGUGGACCCAUCACCCGAACUGUUUGAGUCUACAGGGUUAACGGACAAGACUUUUCUUGGGUUUGAAUUUAAUUUUUGUAUAGUUUAUUAACUUUAAUUUUUUUUUCUUUUGCAAACAGAGGUGCCACGGACCAGCAGCGGACUUGCGUCGGGGAUUGGUUCCUUCUUCAGGCCGGAUCUCCUACAGGAUUCGUCGGACGACGAGGUGGAAGUGCAGCAGCCCGCUGUUUCUACAUCCCUGUCUGCACAAAUGCAAUUGGUGGUAGUACAGCAAGGGCAGGAUCCCUCAAAUGUACAGAGGGUACACACCCUGGCAGCAGAGAUGACUGCCCGCCAGGAUACCUACACGAAUAUCGUUGAAACCAGACUGGACGCCAUUGAGAAGAUAAUGGAGAAGAUGGCAAACGGUCUGGUUGAAAUGCAAAAGGCUCAUGCCGACAGCACGGCAGAAACGCAAAAGACCAGACGAGAAGAUCACAGGGAGACUAUGGACAUCCUUCACGUUCUGGCCACAUCCAUCAACCGGCUGGUGGAUAAAACAUCGGUGGUAAUUCCGAGUUGUUCCCUCGGUAAUUUUCUUCGCAUCGCAGCGAUUUUCCACUAAUUGCGCAUGCGCAAUGUUCGCACUGCGACUGCACCAAGUAAAUUUGCUAUGCAGUUAGGAAUUUUACUCACGGCAUUACGAGGUUUUUUCUUCGUUCUGGUGAUCGUAAUGUGAUUGACAGGAAGUGGGUGUUUCUGGGCGGAAACUGGCCGUUUUAUGGGUGUGUGUGAAAAAACGCUACCGUUUCUGGGAAAAACGCGGGAGUGGCUGGAGAAAUGGAGGAGUGUCUGGGCGAACGCUGGGUGUGUUUGUAACGUCAAACCAGGAACGAAACUGACUGAACUGAUCGCAGUGGCAGAGUAAGUCCCGAGCUACUCAGAAACUGCAAAUACAUUUUUAUUCGCAAUAAUGAGAAUCUUUCAUUCGCAAUUUUGAUAAGCUAAGAUUCACUCCCAGUAGGCGGCGGCUUAGCGUGUGCAGUGCUGCUAAAAGCAGCUUGCGAGCGAACAACUCGGAAUGAGGGCCAUCAUGCCUGGCACACAGCGUUGACAACAUGUCGAAGAGCCAACGACAUUCGGCAUCCAGCCAACAGAUCAUCGCAACCGCACUGCAGAUGAUGUACGAUAAGCUCCCAGAGCCAGCUCAUCAACACGCUGGUGAACCACCACUUCCGCCAUCACAAGCCACAUGGACGCCUCCUUCCCUUCCUCCACCACCAUCCUGGUAUAGACGGUCACAGCUGUACCAAGGAUAUACAGGGAUGUACCCCACCCACCAGAUGCCUCCACCACCCACACCGGCCGCAUCAUCUACACCCGCACGGCCACCGAGGCCAAGUCAACACACUCCCCAGCCGCCCAGGGCAUCGACGCCCCAUCAGGAGGAAGAAGAGGAUCCGGACGGACAACCACCAUAAGCCCGGUCAUAUUGUUUUAUUAUUUACUCUUAUGUUUUUCAUGUUUCCCUUUCUCCCCCUCCUAUUAGUUUUUUUUUCUUCUUACUAUUGUUUUAUAUUUGUGUUGGGCUCCCCCACCCCCGACCGGAUACUACCAAGGAGCUUUAUGUCUAGGCAUACAUGCGCGGGCAUGUAUGCGGGCGCGUGUGGUAACUGAUGAAAGCUCCUUGUGGUUACAUGUAUGAAGGGCCAAAGAGCUAUUCUGAUACCACUUUUUUUUUUAAAAACAAACUCCUUUUUGUAUUGGUGUAAAAUAGGCUUUCACUGUUGUGUGAAUUUACUAUUCACUAGUGUUUAUUUUUGGCUUCUUCAUAGGAUUGGGUGGAAAAUUGAAGUGGAUGGCGUAGUUCGUGUUGUGCGUACCAAGGUGA
Molecule: long non-coding RNA, 2713 nt
Organism: Pseudophryne corroboree (corroboree frog)
Lineage: Eukaryota; Metazoa; Chordata; Amphibia; Anura; Myobatrachidae
Exons: 3
Source: RefSeq, a predicted model, not a curated record